This 397-nucleotide ribosomal RNA is filed under the name uncultured bacterium. RNAcentral describes it as "partial 16S ribosomal RNA". It matches the Rfam family "Bacterial small subunit ribosomal RNA", at positions 523 to 918 of the family's 1533-position model. The record is from RNAcentral.
AUACGUAGGUGGCAAGCGUUGUCCGGAAUUAUUGGGCGUAAAGCGCGCGCAGGUGGUUCCUUAAGUCUGAUGUGAAAGCCCCCGGCUCAACCGGGGAGGGUCAUUGGAAACUGGGGAACUUGAGUGCAGAAGAGGAUAGUGGAAUUCAAAGUGUAGCGGUGAAAUGCGUAGAGAUUUGGAGGAACACCAGUGGCGAAGGCGACUGUCUGGUCUGUGACUGACACUGAGGCGCGAAAGCGUGGGGAGCAAACAGGAUUAGAUACCCUGGUAGUCCACGCCGUAAACGAUGAGUGCUAAGUGUUGGGGGGUUUCCGCCCCUCAGUGCUGCAGCUAACGCAUUAAGCACUCCGCCUGGGGAGUACGGUCGCAAGACUGAAACUCAAAUGAAUUGACGGGG